Molecule: long non-coding RNA, 239 nt
Filed under: Carica papaya (papaya)
Lineage: Eukaryota; Viridiplantae; Streptophyta; Magnoliopsida; Brassicales; Caricaceae
Description: long non-coding RNA (CPAP_LNC004506)
Source: RNAcentral
AGAUUGUCAUUCUACAAGUUCUUUAUAACAAACUUUGUCAUUAUUUGCUUUCUCUCUUACAACACAUGUUCAUCUUUCAUUAAUACAUGUAUAAUCUUAAUCCAUAACAAAAAUUAUAAAUCUAUCAAUAGAAUUGAUUUCUCUAAACAAAUAUAACUGAGAGUUGUCCGGUAAUAUUUAACAAAGAUUUAUCUAAUGAUAUAUUAGUUGAAGGAUCUAUAAAUUAUGCUUUAUUGUAU